This 62-nucleotide transfer RNA is filed under the name Laccotrephes robustus. Its description in RNAcentral is "tRNA-Ala". It matches the Rfam family "tRNA". Rfam says of the family: Transfer RNA (tRNA) molecules are approximately 80 nucleotides in length. Their secondary structure includes four short double-helical elements and three loops (D, anti-codon, and T loops). The record is from RNAcentral. Lineage: Eukaryota; Metazoa; Arthropoda; Insecta; Hemiptera; Nepidae.
GGGGACGUAGUUAAAAAUAACAUUUAAUUUGCAAUUAAAAAGUGCUUACCUAGCCUUCCUCA